RNAcentral lists this ribosomal RNA (809 nucleotides) under uncultured bacterium. Its description in RNAcentral is "bacterial SSU rRNA". It matches the Rfam family "Bacterial small subunit ribosomal RNA", at positions 8 to 806 of the family's 1533-position model. The record is from RNAcentral.
AGAGUUUUAUCCUGGCUCAGAUUGAACGCUGGCGGCAGGCCUAACACAUGCAAGUCGAACGGUAACAGAAAGCAGCUUGCUGCUUUGCUGACGAGUGGCGGACGGGUGAGUAAUGUCUGGGAAACUGCCUGAUGGAGGGGGAUAACUACUGGAAACGGUAGCUAAUACCGCAUAACGUCGCAAGACCAAAGAGGGGGACCUUCGGGCCUCUUGCCAUCGGAUGUGCCCAGAUGGGAUUAGCUUGUUGGUGGGGUAACGGCUCACCAAGGCGACGAUCCCUAGCUGGUCUGAGAGGAUGACCAGCCACACUGGAACUGAGACACGGUCCAGACUCCUACGGGAGGCAGCAGUGGGGAAUAUUGCACAAUGGGCGCAAGCCUGAUGCAGCCAUGCCGCGUGUAUGAAGAAGGCCUUCGGGUUGUAAAGUACUUUCAGCGGGGAGGAAGGGAGUAAAGUUAAUACCUUUGCUCAUUGACGUUACCCGCAGAAGAAGCACCGGCUAACUCCGUGCCAGCAGCCGCGGUAAUACGGAGGGUGCAAGCGUUAAUCGGAAUUACUGGGCGUAAAGCGCACGCAGGCGGUUUGUUAAGUCAGAUGUGAAAUCCCCGGGCUCAACCUGGGAACUGCAUCUGAUACUGGCAAGCUUGAGUCUCGUAGAGGGGGGUAGAAUUCCAGGUGUAGCGGUGAAAUGCGUAGAGAUCAGAAGGAAUACCGGUGGCGAAGGCGGCCCCCUGGACGAAGACUGACGCUCAGGUGCGAAAGCGUGGGGAGCAAAAAAGAUUAGAUACCCUGGUAGUCCACGCCGUAAA